Molecule: ribosomal RNA, 118 nt
Filed under: Salmo salar (Atlantic salmon)
Lineage: Eukaryota; Metazoa; Chordata; Actinopteri; Salmoniformes; Salmonidae
Source: RNAcentral
GCUACGGCCAUACCAGCCUGGGUACGCCCGAUCUCGUCUGAUCUCAGAAGCUAAGCAGGGUCGGGCCUGGUUAGUACUUGGAUGGGAGACCGCCUGGGAAUACCAGGUGCUGUAAGCA